UAAAACGCUAUGAGAAAGAAGAGUAAUCAUCCUGAUUCUAUCAGCGAGCUUCGGUUGGUGAGAGGAAGCAAGAACUGGAUGAUGAAAAUCCCUUUUGAGUGAUGUAGUGAACUGACAGUAAUCUGCAUUGGGUACGCCCGUUAUCGCGUUAACGUAUCGCAAUUUAUUUGCUGUACGCGAUGAGGCUAUUUCAGCGAUGGACUAGCAAACUAAGGUGGUACCGUGCAUAAGCGCCCUUAAU
This 241-nucleotide non-coding RNA is filed under the name Secundilactobacillus oryzae. RNAcentral's name for it is "Lactobacillus oryzae T-box sequence". It matches the Rfam family "T-box leader". Rfam says of the family: Uncharged tRNA acts as the effector for transcription antitermination of genes in the T-box leader family. T-boxes are found upstream of many aminoacyl-tRNA synthetase genes and some amino acid biosynthetic genes usually in Gram-positive bacteria. Lineage: Bacteria; Bacillati; Bacillota; Bacilli; Lactobacillales; Lactobacillaceae. The record is from RNAcentral.